This is a long non-coding RNA of Lemur catta (Ring-tailed lemur), 1799 nucleotides long. RefSeq lists it as uncharacterized. The transcript is spliced from 2 exons. Lineage: Eukaryota; Metazoa; Chordata; Mammalia; Primates; Lemuridae. The record is from RefSeq and is a predicted model, not a curated record.
UGCACGUGUACAGAAGGCGGAAUGCAGAUGAGGCUACUGCGGGAUAUGUCCAGGAGACUCUGAAGUGCCAGGCGGGGGGGCUCUGCACACAUGAUCUUCUUGUCCCUGGAGCUGAGCAACCUCUGGCCACCCUGCUUGAUCCACGUGCCCAGCCAGUGCAGGGCACAGUCACAGCGCCAUGGGUUCUCUGUGGAAGAGUGGGAGGCAACAGGUGGCUUGGGGUUGGCCCCACAACAGCCUGUGCCCUUGAUAUUCUGCUGACCAGGGCAUGAGCCUCUUGCCCACCUCCCACAGCCUCUUCACACGAGUCUAGGAUCCCUGCCACCCCAUAUCUGACUCCAAGCUCUUUGGGGUGGAGGCAGGCCCUUCACACCUGAUGAUCUCACAGGUCACUUCUCCACUGGUCUUUGAGAAAGCACCUGCUCCUCUGGAGUGUCCCCAAACAAGUUCCACUGUUUGGGGCACUUCUGUGUCCACAUAGACACCUCACCAGCACUAAAACCAUGGAAAUGCAGAGUGCCUGAGCUGUACCCCCACCAGCACCCCAUUCCCGGCAGCCUUCCACCAUGGCUCCAGGUAGUUGUGUGGUCUUCCAGCAUGUUCCCAAUUGCUGGCUGUUAGAGCGAGCCCCUUCCACACUUCGGCCUGCUGCCUACUGCCACCUCUGUGGCCAAGGCAGACCCUUGCUGGAGGAAGAGGUACCUGUGAGGCGCAGGACUUGCAGGCUGGCCAGGGGCUGCAAGGCCUCUUGGCUGAUGGUGCCUAGCUGGUUCCUGCUGAGGUCCAGCAGUGCCAGAGAGGACAGCCCAGCCAGAGCCUGGUCCUCCAGCAGCUCAAUGUUGUUUUCUUGCAGGUGCAGCUCCUGCAGUCGCUGAAGUAGGGACAGCAGAUCGUAAGGAAAAAGUGCACUGGGAGGGGCAGGUCCCCCUUACCAAGCCUAAGUUGACUCUGCUCCCCCUAACUAUUCCAGCCAGGCAAGGCUAGUGACGGUACAAGAGGACCCCGCCCUUUUUGUCCUCUGAUGCUCACCGGCAGGUGUGAGAAGGUGAAAUCCAGUAGUUGCACCAGCUGGUUGCCGGCCAGGUAGAGUAUGCGCAGCUGGGUCAGGCCCGCGAAGGCGCCGCCAUGCAAGCCGCGUAGCCGGUUUCCGGUGAGUGCCAGCUCGAGCAGGCGCGGCUGCGCACGGAAAGCGCCGGUCUCCAGGGCGCGCAGGCUGUUGUUGUGCAGGUAGAGACGACGAAGAGCGGCAAGCGGAGCCAGGGUGCCAGGCUCCAGGCGGGAGAUGUUGUUGUCCUGCAGGAACAGCGUCUGCGGGCCGGGGGAUGUGGGGGCACUUAUCCCGCCGCCGGGGUCUCCCUUUCCCCUGGGGUCCCCGGUUUACCUACCAGGACGCUCACACAGCCCUCCCGCAGCCCGGCGCCUCCACUUGGUGCCCACCUGCGUCCCGGGCGGGAUUCCCGGCGGGACGACGUGCAGCCUCAAGGCGCCGCACUCCACCGUGGCGCUGUAGCAGCGACAGGCGGCUGGGCAGGUGGCGGCGCAGGGCGGAAACCAGAGCAGCAGCGGCGGCAGUAGCAGCAGCAGCAGCAACGCGGGAGUCCCCGGGGCCAUGUCCCAAGAGACCAGCCUCCCCAAGGUCUGGCCCGGAUAGGAUGUGCCUCCUGAAACACAGGUUGGCAGGCUAGUCCUAACAUUCAAGAGCCAGUGCAGGAGCACAAAGUGAGGCCCACACCUUUUGUCUGCCUUUUAAAAUGUUAUGUGUGCUCAAGAAACUGAUAAAUAAAAAGUUCUAUUUUCCU